This 405-nucleotide ribosomal RNA is filed under the name uncultured bacterium. RNAcentral's name for it is "partial 16S ribosomal RNA". It matches the Rfam family "Bacterial small subunit ribosomal RNA", at positions 28 to 526 of the family's 1533-position model. The record is from RNAcentral.
GACGAACGCUGGCGGCGUGCUUAACACAUGCAAGUCGAGCGGAGCGGCGAACGGGUGAGUAACGCGUGUGUAACUGCCCCCCUCUCUGGGAUAACAGUUGGAAACGGCUGCUAAUACCGGAUAGUGGGGGAUGACUCGCGUCCUAUCAGCUUGUUGUUGGGGUAGUGGCCUACCAAGGCGACGACGGGUAGCCGGCCUGAGAGGGCGACCGGCCCCAUUGAGCUGAGAUACGUCCCAAAGUCCUACGGGAGGCAGCAGUGGAGAAUAUUGAUCAAUCGGGGAAACCCUGAGGCAGCGAGGCCGCGUGCGGAAUGACGGCCUUCGGGUUGUAAACCGCUUUCAGCCAUGACGCGGUAGUGGCAGAAGAAGCACCGGCUAACUACGUGCCAGCAGCCGCGGUAAUUC